Molecule: ribosomal RNA, 950 nt
Filed under: uncultured archaeon
Lineage: Archaea
Description: bacterial SSU rRNA
Rfam family: Archaeal small subunit ribosomal RNA
Source: RNAcentral
CAUGGGCAGCGUGCCCGGGACUUAAGUGUGCCUGUACAACAGGCCCUUUUUUAUUAUGUAAAAAGUACUGAGAAUAAGGGGUGGGCAAGACUAGUGCCAGCCUCCGCGGUAAAACUAGCAUCCCAAGUGGUAGUCGCGAUUAUUUGGCUUAAAGCGUCCGUAGUCGGGCUGUUUAGUCUUCUGUGAAAUCCUGCGGCUUAACCGUAGGGCUUGCAGAGGAUACUGGCGGCCUUGGAGCCGGGUGAGGUUGGGGGUAUUCCUAGGGUAGCGGCGAAAUGCUAUAAUCCUAGGAGGACCACCGAUAGCGAAGGCACCCAACUAGAACGGGCUCGACGAUGAGGGACGAGAGCUAGGGGAGCAAACCGGAUUAGAUACCCGGGUAGUCCUAGCCGUAAACGAUGCAGGCUGAGUGUCUCCUGAACCUCGAGUUCAGGAGGUGCUGAAGGGAAACCGUUAAGCCUGCCGCCUGGGGAGUACGGUCGCAAGGCUGAAACUUAAAGGAAUUGGCGGGGGAGCACCACAAGGGGUGGAGUCUGCGGUUCAAUUGGAUACAACGCCGAGAAACUUACCAGGGGUGACGGCAGUAUGACAGCCAAGCUAAUGACUUUGCUUAACGAGCCGAGAGGUGGUGCAUGGCCGUCGUCAGCUCGUACCGUGAGGCGUGCGGUUAAGUCCGUUAACGAGCGAGACCCGUACCUCUAUUUGCGAACCCGUUCGAGGGAAUGGGAGCACUAUAGAGGGACCGCUGGCGAUGAGUCAGAGGAAGGCGCGGUCGACGAUAGGUCUGUAUGCCCCGAAUCUCCUGGGCUACACGUGGACUACAUGGCACGGACAUUGGAUGCAACGCCGUGAGGCGGAGCCAUCCCCUAAACCGUGUCCCAGUUCGGAUCGAGGAAUGAACUCACCCUCGUGAAGUGAAAUCCUUAAACCGCGGCCUAUCCACGGAAUCC